AACGAACGCUGGCGGCAUGCCUAACACAUGCAAGUCGAACGAAAUCUUCGGAUCUAGUGGCGCACGGGUGCGUAACGCGUGGGAAUCUGCCCCUUGCUUCGGAAUAACAGUGAGAAAUUACUGCUAAUACCGGAUGAUGUCUCCGGACCAAAGAUUUAUCGGCACGGGAUGAGCCCGCGUAGGAUUAGGUAGUUGGUGGGGUAAUGGCCUACCAAGCCGACGAUCCUUAGCUGGUCUGAGAGGAUGCUCAGCCACACUGGGACUGAGACACGGCCUAGACUCCUACGGGAGGGAGCAGAGGGGAAUAUUGGAAACGGGGCGCAAGGCUGAUACAGCAAUGCCGCGUGAGUGAUGAAGGGCUUAGGGUUGUAAAGCUGUUUGACCAGGGAUGAUAAUGACAGUACCUGGAGAAUAAGCUCCGGCUAACUACGUG
RNAcentral lists this ribosomal RNA (433 nucleotides) under uncultured bacterium. RNAcentral describes it as "partial 16S ribosomal RNA". It matches the Rfam family "Bacterial small subunit ribosomal RNA", at positions 29 to 507 of the family's 1533-position model. The record is from RNAcentral.